Rhinopithecus roxellana (golden snub-nosed monkey) is the source of this 1653-nucleotide long non-coding RNA. RefSeq lists it as uncharacterized. The record is from RefSeq and is a predicted model, not a curated record. Lineage: Eukaryota; Metazoa; Chordata; Mammalia; Primates; Cercopithecidae. The transcript has 6 exons.
GAAGUCGAGCGCCGCCGCAGUGCUGGCUAGUGUGAAAAGAGAGGAGGAGGGUUUGCGGCCUCAGCGUCUGUCAACAGAACCCUCUUCACCUGUGGUUAAAUCCUCCCUAGCCCUGAGCUCGUCCUCCCCUCCCUAUGGACGCAGACCUGACCGUAGAAGCCCUGCAGCACUCACUGGGGGCUUGAGGGAGCCCCUGAGUCCCCUCCACCCUCGCUGCCUUUUCCUGGAUGCCCAGGAAAUAUCUCCAAGGGAGGCUGUGACCCAGGACCCCGCCUCGACCUCACCUUCUUCUGUAAGGCGCAGUGAAAGACAAAGAUGAAGACCCCCUGGAAGGCGUUGAAGGUGGUGAAGAGAUAGGCCAUGACCACCGACUCCUUGUUGAUGAAGAGGAGGCCGAAAGCCCAGGAACUUCUGACCAGAGGGACUGGCUCUCCUGGCCCCUCUCUGAAGCUUCCAGCACGCAGCUCCGCAGGGGCAGCCUCUGGCUCCCUUCCCAGCGCCUCACCCAGGGCCUGGCACUCAGGAGAUGCUCAGCGAACAUUUGGGAGACAACAAUAAUCGUAAUUGACAAGAGGCAUUACAAGGAGUUGCAACAAAAGCAACAACUACCAAGUGUCCAGCACUCACGAGGGGACAGCAACUAUGCUAGGCACCUCACGGGCCAUCUUUCAAGAACCCUGCCUACAGAUGGGAAAACUGAGGCACAGUGAAGUGAGGCCACAUGGCUGGCGGAAGCAGGCACCAUUUCCUUUGCAUCUAUAGCUCGUGUGCACACAAGCUUGACACACUGUCACUACUCCUUGCAGCUUCCAAGGGAAGGCUUUUGACCCCUCUUCACCCCAUCACAGAUGAAUAAACAGGCUCAGCUGGCUGAAAUGGCAUCGGUAAUAUUACUGAGUACGUCCUGAACCAGGCAUGGGUCUGGGCGCUGGGGCGGUAGGUGAAGACGAAGCCUCUGCCCUUGGGAAGUUUACACUUGGCACUCAAAACCCUGCCUCCGGGAGCGGCUGGCCGGCCUGGGCCAAGCGCUUCUCACAGGCCAUCUCGUGGACUCCCUCCUCCCUCCGUAGUGGCCCAGAGAAAUGAAGUCAUUUGCUCAGGUUUCAGAGCCAGAAAACUCAAAGAGUCCAGUCGAGCCUUGAACCUACACCCAUCUGACUGCCCCCCUGUGCUGAGCUCGCUCCCUCCCGCCCCCUUUCCCGGCUGCCCCAGCCGCGGGAGUCGGCCGUGUCCCCAGUGCUGUGGGGAGGCUUCAAGGAGCAGAUGGGCGUCCCCCUCAGUGGUGGCUGAAGGCCUCAGGUGCUGAAAGGAAAGGACGAGGAGUAAAAGAAGAAAAUUACGGAAGCACAGAAGGGAUCCUGUUUCCCCACCAUCGAAUCACCUGCGAGGAGAAAUCAAAGUGAGAGCCUUGAAGAUGUAAUCACAGAGACAGAGAGAGAGAGAGAGGGAGAGAGGAGCAUCGGCUCACCAAGAAGGCCUGUCCUCGUCCCAGGGGCCACAGCGGGAUGGCCCCUACCAACCUGGCCCAGCUGACUUGUUGGAGGGUUUGGGAGCCGAGGCCCCUCCCCGGCGCCAGCAGCACCUACCUUGGGUGGCCGAGGUGACCAGGACGGCGGUGACACACAGAUUCCAGAGCACUGCGGCCAGGCGGGC